CAACAGCAAGACAAAUGCAGCCAGAAGAAAAAGAUUGACAAGUUGGAGAGGAGAUGGCAGAAGGAACUAAGGUCUCCAAGUGAAAUUAAAAAAAUGCUCGAAGCAAACAAUAGAUAGGGAGAUAUGGAAUCUGGUUUGAGCCUGAAGCAUCCAUUAUCUGUUGAAAGAAAUUUUGCUAUUAGGGACUAACAAUGCCACUUUUCAUAAUAGGGUUCAGCCUUAUCUUCUUGUUGUGGGAUGCAUGGGAAUUGGACUUUUCCAGAGGUAUGUUACACUCUGUGAGACUUCAUAGUUUUAUUCUCCAAUGUUGUUCUUCUAUCUUGGUUUUCUCUUUUGUUAUAAUAUAUGGCGUACAUUAUAUGUCGGGUCUUUUCUUAGAUUUAUGGAAAGAAACAUUCACUACUUUACGUCUGAAUUUUAUUGUUGAGAAUCCGUUUUUCAUUUUCUCUCAUAUAUGAAAAUCUAGAUCAUAAUUAUUUCCUUCUGCAUACCCACCUGCCCAAGUCACCAUUUUCAGAAACUGCCUACUUUUCAUGCCUUGAUUACUAGUUGCACAUCCCUCAUUCACUGUUGAGCCAGGGCCAGUAACCACUGAAAGUCUAAAACCAUUAAUCUUUACCAGAUAGAUAUAGCACAACUUGUUGCAAGUGUCCAUUCUCAGGUUACAUUAGCAUCAAAUCACACAGAUUCUAAGAGAGGUUGGCUCUGAUAUGUGGGAAGGUUUGGCAAUAUAGAGAAGGGUCAAAUAUAUCUGCUUUAGAAGUUCCCUUCCUGAACUCAAUGUGAUAAACUGAUAAUGAUCAGCCUUAAGAAAGCUUUAUGAAGCCCAUGUGAGUCAGACAAGUUUUCUGGAAUCUCUAUAAGUUUGUAUAUUGCAGACAUGCAAGUCAUUGGGGGGAGACGGGGAGAUCAUGCAGUGAUGUGUUGGGAUCGGAGACAGGGUAGACUGAGAAGGGGGUGAGUUUCAGUCUUUCCCGGCUUUCAAAGUUGCAGUAACUUUGAAUGUUGAGGUCCCUUGCCUGUAAGUUCCUGUAGAAUUAGAUAGUUUGAUCCUGGUGGGAACAUAGGGUUUUCGUCAUUUGUAAUGUAACUCUACUCUGAAUUAAUCACUGAAAAUAAGAGGUUCUUAUUUUAGUUUUCUAGCUUCUUUCUUUGAAUGGUUGUUGUUGUGAUCAAGAAUUUUACUAUUUAUUGUCUUAAAAAAGUUUUCAUCAGUCAAUGACUAUCGCUUUUAGUUAUAUUCUACUGUGCAGUUUGUUCGACUUAUUUCUUGACAAUGCUAAGUGCUAAUUAUCAAUAAGGUCGCAGCAACAAUAAGGUCAACCCCUUCUUUGAUGUUUUAAUUCGACCUUGGCUUAGUUACAUAGGCACAAUAGGCAUUUGAAUUUUGAGGUCUUUUUUCGGGUGAGAAUCAUAGUAGGGAGUUUAUUUGUGAUUCGUAGACAAGCUUUUGGAAAAUGAAAAAAAAUGAUCAACAUUUAUUAACAUAAUGUACUCUAGGUGUGAAUAUCAGACACCAGACAUGGGACUUGGGACUAUGCUUUAGCUGGGGUAAUUGGUGAUAAAUAGUGCUUUUGCAUGGCAUUACUUUCCCUCGUGGUGCCUUCUUAGGUAGAUUGUUCCUUACAUCAAGUUAUGUGUAUCCUACUGUUUAGUUACUUCGACUCUUUAAUGUUGCCUGAAUAGAUACGAAUGCUGAACCGCAAGGAUGUCAUAGCAAAACAUUACCUUAUCUGUGUUCAAUAUCAUAGCAAAGAUCUCGAAAUGAAUGAGCACCUAAGUGUUCUUAUUACUCAUGUAAUUUAUUUUGAUUAUCACAUGUCAAGUGUCUGGUGUUACGUUCGUGCACUAGUUAUCACUUGGAUCUAUGGUGGUACCUGAGUAUAUGGCUAUACUGAGUACUGCAUCCGUCUUAUGUUUUUCUGAAUUUCGUAUCCCUAGUUUUGCACCAGUGCACUGAGAUUCCUUUUCAUACCUUGUUCUAUAUCUUAUGUCAAGGUUAAAUGGUAGAUAUGUCUGCAUUCGAGGUAAUGGUGGUAGUUUUUUUUUGUAAUGCUAUUUUGAGUUUAUGCUGAACAGGUUUGGUUUUCUUCAGGUGGUGUGCACAGAAGGGCCAGAGAGAAUUAGAGAAUUGAUUGCAAUGGGUGCAUCCUUUGAUCUUCAUUAUUUUACUUUUGGUCUGAAUUGUGUACUUAAUAUAAAUUAUUAGAAAUACAAUGAUUGUUUCCCAUAUUGUAAGAUUUAUAAUGGUUAUUGUCCUUAUGUUUAAGCCUUAUCUAGUAAAAUGGAAUCAAGGUUGGAUUUGUUAGAUGAUCUUCUGGAGGCUAUCAUUGACAAGACUUUUGCUAAUGACGAUGCUGGAAAAGAUGGUAAAAUUUAAGGAAGAGUGGAAGGCUUAUAUCCGUCGUAAUCCCAACCAACAUGAAUCUUCCUUAUCUCAAAUUAAUGAUGAUUCAGGUGGCAAAGGUAACAAUUAGAUCAAGAUAUUGAAGAUUCGAUCUCAAUCACGGGGAUUUAUGAACGAACAUUGUUUUUAUGUUAAAGGAACAAAAUAAGUUAUUUUUAUUUCUAGUGUGAUUUGAUAAGACAAAAAUUUGAUGUAUGGAUAUAUAAUACCUAUCCUAAGUUAUUUUGGUAUGUUCUUAACUA
Molecule: long non-coding RNA, 2649 nt
Organism: Spinacia oleracea (spinach)
Lineage: Eukaryota; Viridiplantae; Streptophyta; Magnoliopsida; Caryophyllales; Amaranthaceae
Exons: 3
Source: RefSeq, a predicted model, not a curated record